GACGAACCGAGCGAACGUUAUUCGGAAUCACUGGGCUUAAAGGGCGCGUAGGCGGGCGGCCAAGUCAGGGGUGAAAGCCCCCGGCUCAACUGGGGAGGGUCAUUCGAUACUGUCCGACUUGAAGGCAGGAGAGAGAAGCAGAAUUCCCGGUGUAGUGGUGAAAUGCGUAGAUAUCUGGAGGAACACCGGUGGCGAAGGCGGCAUCCUGGACCGACACUGACGCUGAGGAGCGAAAGCCAGGGGAGCAAACGGG
Molecule: ribosomal RNA, 253 nt
Filed under: uncultured bacterium
Lineage: Bacteria
Description: partial 16S ribosomal RNA
Rfam family: Bacterial small subunit ribosomal RNA
Source: RNAcentral